This 95-nucleotide ribosomal RNA is filed under the name Rezinkovia echinata. Its description in RNAcentral is "partial 28S ribosomal RNA". Lineage: Eukaryota; Metazoa; Porifera; Demospongiae; Spongillida; Lubomirskiidae. The record is from RNAcentral.
GUUCCAGAGACCAAAUUGGGUUUUUACAAGAGGGGAUAAAAAAAGGAGAGCAACUCGUUGCUCUCGAUUUUUUGAACUUCCAUCCUGGACCUCAG